This 220-nucleotide unclassified non-coding RNA is filed under the name plant metagenome. Its description in RNAcentral is "partial contains small subunit ribosomal RNA, internal transcribed spacer 1, and 5.8S ribosomal RNA". The record is from RNAcentral.
UUUCCGUUGGUGAACCAGCGGAAGGAUCAUUACAGAGAUCGUGCCCUCCGGGGUAGACCUCCCACCCUGUGUUAUUUACGUAUGUUGCUUUGGCGGGCCGCCUCCGGGCUCUCGGCUUCGGCCGAGGUGUGCCCGCCAGAGAACCCACAACCCUGUGUUUAGUGUCGUCUGAGUAUUAUCAAAUAAGUUAAAACUUUCAACAACGGAUCUCUUGGUUCUG